Molecule: ribosomal RNA, 489 nt
Filed under: uncultured bacterium
Lineage: Bacteria
Description: partial 16S ribosomal RNA
Rfam family: Bacterial small subunit ribosomal RNA
Source: RNAcentral
GAUAAACGCUGGCGGCAGGCCUAACACAUGCAAGUCGAGCGGCAGCACUUCGGGUGGCGAGCGGCGAACGGGUGAGUAAUACAUGGGAAGCUGCCCAGUAGUGGGGGAUAACUUCGGGCAACUGGAGGUAAUACCGCAUACGUCCUACGGGAGAAAGCAGGGGAUCGCAAGACCUUGCGCUAUUGGAGGAGCCCAUGUCCGAUUAGCUAGUUGGUGAGGUAAAGGCUCACCAAGGCAACGAUCGGUAACUGGUCUGAGAGGAUGGUCAGUCACACUGGAACUGAGUCACGGUCCAGACUCCUACGGGAAGCAGCAGUGGGGAAUAGUGGACAAUGGGUGCAACCCUGAUCCAGCCAUGCCGCGUGUGAAGAAGGCCUUCGGGUUGUAAUGCACUUUAAGCAGGGAGGAAGGCUCGUACGUUAAUACCGUGCGGAGUGACGUUACCUGCAGAAUAAGCACCGGCAAACUCCGUGCCAGCCGCCGCUGUAA